CUGGGAAUCUUGCACAAUGGACGAAAGUCUGAUGCAGCGACGCCGCGUGGUCGAAGAAGCCCUUCGGGGUGUAAAGACCGAUAGAUAGGGAAGAAAUCUUGACGGUACCUAUCGACAGCACCGGCUAACUACGUGCCAGCAGCCGCGGUAAUACGUAGGGUGCAAGCGUUAUUCGGAAUUAUUGGGCGUAAAGCGCGUGUAGGUGGUUAUGUAAGUCUCUAGUUAAAUUUUCUGGCUCAACCAGAAAAAUGUUAGGGAUACUGCAUGGCUAGAGGCUAUUAGAGGCAACUGGAACAAUGGGUGUAGGAGUGAAAUCCGUUGAUAUCCAUUGGAACACCAAUGGCGAAGGCAGGUUGCUGGGAUAUGCCUGACACUGAGACGCGAAAGCGUGGGUAGCGAACGGG
This 404-nucleotide ribosomal RNA is filed under the name uncultured bacterium. Its description in RNAcentral is "bacterial SSU rRNA". It matches the Rfam family "Bacterial small subunit ribosomal RNA", at positions 355 to 776 of the family's 1533-position model. The record is from RNAcentral.